Molecule: RNA transcript, 1400 nt
Organism: Chinchilla lanigera (long-tailed chinchilla)
Lineage: Eukaryota; Metazoa; Chordata; Mammalia; Rodentia; Chinchillidae
Exons: 4
Source: RefSeq, a predicted model, not a curated record
UAAUGCGUGCUCUGCAAGGAAGCAUAAGACAGAUACGUCAACAAGUGCUGAGAAAGACAGCGAUCAUCAGAGUCAGAAAACCACUAUCUCUAAGCAUAUCAUGAGUCAAGACUCAGACCGUUCAGUGUCAGCUUAGCGAUCUCAACAACAGGGACCUGGUGUGUUCAACUCUUUCAGUUGGAGCUCUCGGAUCUACUGUGUGAAGAAAAUGAAAUGUUACUGUUCCUGAUUUUCGUCGUGGCUUUUGUCUGUGGAGUGUUGCUCUUCUGUCUCCAUCACUGGCUGAGAAAUCGUCGAAGUGAUUCCUCAAGAUGCACCGUGGCUGUUUUUGCUGUUGGGGAUUUGGACACCAACUAUGGGACAGAAGCAGCUGUGAAUACAACUGUUGCAUCUCACUUUCAAGCUCAAAACCCAGGACAUCAUCCUGUUUCACAUUUUGGCACACUUGGCCCUCCACCUUCGUAUGAAGAUGUUCUAAAAAACCGGUUUUAGAUCUGGAUCAUGUACUGAAGACAUUAGAAAUAUCUGAAAUUUUAAACCAUAAAUUUAGGCACAAUUCUUUUAUUUACUGGGAAUUCCUAAAAUUCUAUUAAUAUAGUCUGAAAAGGACAGGUAGAUAAAAGAAUGGAUGUAGGAAAGAGUUUCAUUCAUGGAGAUGUUUUUAAUAAUGAAGUAGUAGACCCUUGAGGUAUUGCUGCUGUGUUAUACUUUUGUGCUAUACAACCAAGUAAAUAUUUCUUCAUUCAUACUUAAAGAAGAAAGAAUGAGGUAGGGUUGGAAUCACCCCCUUUUAAAUUUGGGAUUCCUCUGUAUUACAUAUAAUGUUGUUGUCUGCUCCCAGCUCUCCCUCUCUGCCUCAUCUCUUCCCUGGUUGAAUGUCAAUAGUAAUUAUCUUAAUUUAGCAAUAGCAUAAGCAGAAAGUCAGACACAUUCAGUACUAGAACCAGAAAGAUAAAAUGUUUGAGUUAGGACGAAAGGAGAGUUAAAUGAAGAGGGGAAGUGUUAUAAGUCUCACACCAAGAAGUUUUAUUCCUAAGCCCAAGGAAGGAGAAGUUGUAGACAGAAGCAGAAGGAAUCUGAUUAAAACAUGAGCAUGUGUAAUGCCAAUAUGGGGAAAUAGAGGAGAAAAUUCCCAUGUUCCUUCAUUAAUGUUUUUUCAGGAACUACCAUUUUUCUGCAAUCCCUUGAAACUUGGCAUAAUAAGAAAUUUUCGCAUAGAUAUCACUGUUCUCAUGGAGGAGUCUGACUGCAGAUGUAGUAGUAAGACCUUUGUGAAGGACAUUUGGGCAGUGGAAGGAAAGGGGAAAACAAUCCAUAUCAGAUGUCACAUGAUGUUCAGUAAAUUUCUUGCACAAAACAAUUGGCACAGGGGCUGGGGAUUUAGCUCAGCGGCACAGCAC